GCCUGGCUGGCUCAGCUGGUAGAGCAUGAGACUUUUGAUCUCAAGGUUAUGAGUUUGAGUCCCAUGUUUGGUA
Nyctereutes procyonoides (raccoon dog) is the source of this 73-nucleotide non-coding RNA. Lineage: Eukaryota; Metazoa; Chordata; Mammalia; Carnivora; Canidae. The record is from the annotation of a RefSeq genome assembly.